GCUCUUGUUUAUUCCACCGUUUCAUUCAUUCUUCUGGGUUUCUCAUUUCCUUUCUUUUGUAACGCCCUCAACCUUUCUUCUCCAUAAUAAACUUUGCCAACGGUUCCUUAAUUUUAUUUUGUCGGUCUCUCUUUAAACCCCAUUUCGUGGUUCUGAACCUUCUAUAUACGACGCUCUGUAGAGACCAAGGGAGGACAAUGCAGGCGCUGGUCUUGGAUGAGGGAACGAGAACGCAGUUGAAUCUGGGAUCAAACUCUAUGCCAUAUAUCUCCUUCUCCUUGAUGCUACUACUUUCAAGUCUCGAGAAUUAGGGUUUUCUGCAUCAAAUUCACAUCUUUCAAACCCUCGCUCCCCUCCAUGCCACCGAUUUGCAUCUCAAUCCAAUUCACUGCCUCUGAAUCACUUUUGCAGAAUUUUAUUCUGUUGCAGUAUAUUACACAUUUACACAUAUAUUUGGUCUUUUGAUUCUACUCUAUGAAUAUCAACAUAAGAUAGCCCCAAUUUCAUGCCUCAUUGAGUUUUUUCCUACUACCAGUCCUCAAUGAGAAGGGAUUUCAUGGAUGAAUUUGUAGGAUUGUUAAGGUUUUCAUGAGGAACUCUAUAGUUUGUAAUCAAGAUGAACAAUUAUUCUAUGUAAAUGGAAAAGUGAUCAGGGUCAAGUGGCUGCAUGGUGGUCCUAAUAUAAGCAAAAGUUGCAUCAGGAGCAUGUUUGUUCAGGUAUCUACUACACUGUUUUGAUUUGAACUUUUGGUCAUUAUUGUUUCUGGAAUGGAAUAUAAGAUAUCCUUAAAAUAUGAUGAAGUAUGAGUAUGUAUUUUUCAGAUCCCUUCGGGCUCUAUAUUCCAAUAUUCUCAUGUAUCCCCAUCGCAGAUUUGUAAUAUUUUUUCCCCUGAUUUAAAGCAUUCUACUAAAUCAGUAUUACAACUAGAAUAAUUUGUUCCAUUUUUUCUUAUUUGUUCUCAUUUCUCCUGAACUAAUUUUAGCAAUAUGAUGACAAGGAACUUCUUUCGUUAGAUUUAUUUUGUGCGGUGAGGAGGAGGAACAUGGUGGUGGUUAUGAUCAUCAGAAAAUGGAACAUAGUGCAUUUGGUCAUUUGGAGGUGGUGGGGUUGAUGCUAAUUUUCCUGUGACACCAAACAUGGUUUCUGAUUUUGCAACACCAAACAUAGUUUUCUGUCUCGAUCUCAUUCUUGGCCCAUUCUUUUUAAUCUUGAUGUUUAUUGCUUGCCAGGGUUAAAGUUGCAGAAAGUCUACGUUUUUGCUCUAUGCGUCGUUUCUCCAUGCUUUGGGGCUUACCCUGGGUUUGCGAUUUCAGUUUCCUUCCUGUGCUACCUGAAUGAUAUCUUGCUCGCUGCAUAACAUCUAUGUAUGAAUUUCUUUGUUGCAGUGCUUUGGUUCUAUUCUAGGAUACAUAUUUCUUUGAAGGGAUGUUUCGUUCAAACCAAGUUGCAACAGUUGGUGUAAUGGAGCAGCAUUGGAAGGAUCAGAAUCAGAUGCUUAUAACUAGCAUUAGUUGUAGAUGUGAAAACAAAUAACUUAUGAAUAAUGGUUUGGAUGUUGCUUAAUUCUUGCUUUUGCUGACCUUUUUACCAGACUAGGAGAACCAAGUUUACUAUUCUCUAAAAUUCGUUUAUAACAAAAUCUAUAGUGAAUACUUUGAUUAACAUGACUUUUGUGCCCUUUGCAGUUAAUGACGUGAUGAGGGUUCCUUUUUCCCCAAACUUAUAAUGCAGUUUGAACCUAUAUGAAGCUUUCUAUCAAAUUUGCAAAUUCAUCUAUGAGAGAUUAAUUAGAUGUUUGCCUCCUUUGUGUAUGAAGGAGAUUCACUUAUGUUUUAUGGCUAGGCUUAUAAAUUGCCAUAAGGUCACACUUAGUUCUUAUGAUCAAAUUCUGUUAUGUUGCUCUCUCGGUGAAGAACAAGGUUUCCCUUCAGAAUCUGAUCCCUUUGGAAUGACUUACUUCAACAAACCAGUAGGCAUAGCUUUUCUUUUCUUUUCUUUUCUUUUUUCUCAAAAACAGUAGAGGCACAAAAAAUCCUUAAUUAUUACUAAAAUUUUGCUGAAAUGGAUAAUAUUCUUGAUUGUGUUAUGAAAGCUAGCAAUUUGACUAUAUGAGAGACUUGAGUGUGUUGAAGUAUACACAAAUGAGAAAUCAACCACAAAUAACAGUGUGAAACAAUAAUUAGUAUAAUAUUUCGCAGUUUAUACGAAGAGUUUUUUCUUGGUCAAGUGUUGUUAUGUUCAUGAGUGUGUGUGUGUUUUCUUUAUUUGUUUUCUUUUAAUUUGGAGUAAUAUAUAAGUGUUUCUUUAUUUGCUGUUUUGUUGGCCUGGAUUGUCUUUGUCCUUUAGGAAAGGUGAACAAACAAGAAUCAAUUCAAAGGCUUCAUGAUUAGUGUGACCUGAGGUACAAGGAGGAAUUGCUAUAUUUCUCGAACUAUUUAUGUGCUAUUCACCUAUGUGUUGAUUUAAGAGGAGUUGCAAAGGUCAUUAUUUUGUCUGUAAUGCUGUGUUAAGGAUGAUUUAUGGUCUUCCAGGCCAGUUUUUCCCCAUGUUCUUCUACAUUCAUUUUCUAAUUAAGUGGAUUUGAGCAAGGGCACCCUCCUUCCAUGAUUCCUUAUGCAGUUCUCUAAGAUUUCUUUCCAUCCGUCAAUGGAAGUCAAGCCAAGCUCUGCUCCUGUCUGAUGGUCAUUCCUCAACUGCAUCGUGAUAUCCAAAGAAUCUUCUCCUUUAAUUGGAGGCUUUAGAGCUUGAAGGUUUCCUCUUCUUUUGACUUUCAUCUCCAUAGAAGAGCAUUUAAAAGUCAAGUAUGAUGUUGGUGAAUUGAGAACUCACAAGAAAUGUUAAAAUGAGUAUGAGAGCAUAAGAGGUUUUCACUACGACAAUUUUCUUCUGCAUUUUUUCUUUAUAUACAAAUGUAUUUGUGAAAAGGGUCAUUCCAUUUUAUCUUCCUUUUUGCACUUAAAUGGGCUUCCAUAGUCAUCUUUGUUAAAGCCAUGACAAGUAACUUCUGAUUUUCUAUUCAAUAGCAUUAAUAGGGUAAGAAUAUGUAAGAUUUUCCUAUUCAACUUGGCUUUUUCUGUGA
Long non-coding RNA from Lotus japonicus, 3080 nucleotides. RefSeq lists it as uncharacterized. The record is from RefSeq and is a predicted model, not a curated record. Lineage: Eukaryota; Viridiplantae; Streptophyta; Magnoliopsida; Fabales; Fabaceae. The transcript is spliced from 6 exons.